Small nucleolar RNA from Camelus dromedarius (Arabian camel), 134 nucleotides. Lineage: Eukaryota; Metazoa; Chordata; Mammalia; Artiodactyla; Camelidae. The record is from Ensembl.
UUGCAUUCUUAAACCCUCUUGGUAGCUUUGCUCUAAGUACUUCCAAGAUAUGAGUGAAUGCUAUAAAAAUUGCAGGGGAGUCCAAAGGGCUGCGCUUCUCUGUGGCUCAGUCUUAUUUCAUACCUGCAACAUCU